This 580-nucleotide ribosomal RNA is filed under the name Escherichia coli. Its description in RNAcentral is "bacterial SSU rRNA". It matches the Rfam family "Bacterial small subunit ribosomal RNA", at positions 942 to 1522 of the family's 1533-position model. Lineage: Bacteria; Pseudomonadati; Pseudomonadota; Gammaproteobacteria; Enterobacterales; Enterobacteriaceae. The record is from RNAcentral.
UGGUUUAAUUCGAUGCAACGCGAAGAACCUUACCUGGUCUUGACAUCCACAGAACUUUCCAGAGAUGGAUUGGUGCCUUCGGGAACUGUGAGACAGGUGCUGCAUGGCUGUCGUCAGCUCGUGUUGUGAAAUGUUGGGUUAAGUCCCGCAACGAGCGCAACCCUUAUCCUUUGUUGCCAGCGGUCCGGCCGGGAACUCAAAGGAGACUGCCAGUGAUAAACUGGAGGAAGGUGGGGAUGACGUCAAGUCAUCAUGGCCCUUACGACCAGGGCUACACACGUGCUACAAUGGCGCAUACAAAGAGAAGCGACCUCGCGAGAGCAAGCGGACCUCAUAAAGUGCGUCGUAGUCCGGAUUGGAGUCUGCAACUCGACUCCAUGAAGUCGGAAUCGCUAGUAAUCGUGGAUCAGAAUGCCACGGUGAAUACGUUCCCGGGCCUUGUACACACCGCCCGUCACACCAUGGGAGUGGGUUGCAAAAGAAGUAGGUAGCUUAACCUUCGGGAGGGCGCUUACCACUUUGUGAUUCAUGACUGGGGUGAAGUCGUAACAAGGUAACCGUAGGGGAACCUGCGGUUGGA